UGGCUUUACGAAUCACGGACUAAAAUUUUGCUUGAUUUGCAUCUUUUUCCUCCUAUAUCUUGAGAAGUUAUUGUGCAAGAAGUUGAAGUUUUGCAGCUUCAUAUUUUAACUCUACAAUAUCCUUUAUUGACAGCUAAAGCAUCAUAAUAGCGGCCUUGAACCAGUAUUUGCUGCAAUUCAAACAAUGUAGUUCAACCAUGAGGCUUUCAGUUUUAUAAAAGAUGCACAAUAAGGGUAUCCCCUAUAUUGUUGCCAAAUGCUAUUAGUUGAACGUGUGCUUGUAUCACUUUUUCCAUUCAUAAUUUAAGAGAACUUCUAAAUAUUUACUUGCUUUCAUAGCCUUAUCAUUCUAUUGAAUGCUAAUAUAAAUCUAAUGGAGGUAUUUGAUGCAAGCGCCACAAUUUAUGACUUUUUUCGUCUUGAAAAUUUUGGCUUAUGGACCAAUUAACUUUAAGGCCGUGGAAAGCUGAUUGUUUAGGACUUUCAUUUUAAUCAUUUUUGGGUUUUUGCUUUCAGUAACAGGGUUUUUUCAUCUUGAUGCUUUUUGGCUUAGAAAGCCGGAGAAGAUAUCCAAAGAGUAAAUUAUGUGGAUUAGGUGCUCAAUUGUUUGUUUUAGGCGAAUACUGAGAGAAGGAAGUACUCAGACUCACGCUUAAAUUUUGCCACAGUUCUCAUCUCUCAUCCAUCAAAGUUGUGGCCAAGAAACAAUCUACCUGUCCAGUUUGGUUUGCUAGUUGCCCUCACAAAAAAUCGUUGAACACAAAGCAUAUCAAAGAUUUGAUGGAGCAUUCCCACCAAUGGAUAGUGGAUACAAAGACUGUGCUAGUUUGAAAAUAAGCCCAACGAGUGAACGGGGUGUAUGUGAAAAAGAGUGAAGAAUGCAUUUUAGUUUGGUCAUAGGUUAGUCUAAAGAACGAAAGUCUUGACUAAUGAGUUUGAGCCGGAAAAUGAGGCUCUAAAGGAGCACUUUCUUCCUUCUUGGUCCUUUUCUUCUAGCCAGUAAUCAACAAUCUACCUUUUUGGCUAAAAAGAAAUGCUCUUGCUAUCUAUUCCUAUUCCAAGGGGCUUUUUGUGUGUUAGGAUGUAAUAACUGCUUAUUAAAUGAAAUAGUUGAGUUUGUGAG
This is a long non-coding RNA of Rhododendron vialii, 1123 nucleotides long. RefSeq lists it as uncharacterized. The transcript is spliced from 2 exons. The record is from RefSeq and is a predicted model, not a curated record. Lineage: Eukaryota; Viridiplantae; Streptophyta; Magnoliopsida; Ericales; Ericaceae.